This 3138-nucleotide ribosomal RNA is filed under the name Triticum aestivum (bread wheat). RNAcentral describes it as "partial small subunit ribosomal RNA". Lineage: Eukaryota; Viridiplantae; Streptophyta; Magnoliopsida; Poales; Poaceae. The record is from RNAcentral.
AUGGCUGUAGACGUUGGCAAGUGGGUUAGUUUCUUCAAAAAUUCUUGGGCUUUAAUCCCACUGUCACUAUGCAUUAUUUUAUUUUAUUUUUUACUCAUUGUGAAUGUGUCUGAUGUCACGCAGAUUAUUGCCCAUGGAGUGGUCGUGAUUACGGUGGUUGUCGCGUACUCUUCUGUCUCCUCCCACAUAAAUAAUACCGCGCAGAGCGCCGCCACGAGCGCCGUGAAGGUGUCGCUGGCGCACGUCGCCGCCGGCAUGCAGUCUCUCAUGGAAGCCAACCACUCUGCCGCCAUCGUCGCACACUCUUUGCAGAUCCCUAGCAACAAAUCAUCUCAUUUCCGACACGUGGGAUCACAUCUGUUCAUGGCGUUGGCCAUGCAGCCUCAGGUGGCCGAGAUGUCAUACACCAGCGUGAACGGCACCACGUUGACAUACUACCGCGCCGAGGACGGUCAGCAGACAGCGAAGCUCGUGAGCCAACGCCGCAAAUGGUACACCGAGCAGGCGGUUGAUCCGGUGACCGGCCGUCUCACCGGCCACCCCGUCCCAGCGACGAGGCCGGAGCACCUGCCCAACGCGACACAGCUCAUCGCCGCCGCCAACAGCGGCUCACCCGCGGCGCUCCAGGCCGGGUGGGUCCACUCCAGCGUCCAGGUGGUGGUCUUCUCCGCACCGGUCGGCCAGACCGCCGUGGUCUCCGCUGCCGUCCCCGUCGACGUCCUGACGAUCACUAGCCUGGGCACCGCGGCCGAUCCGGCCGCGGACACUUACUACGCGAUCACCGACAAGCGCACCGGCGCGGCGACGGUUUAUAAGCCUUUGGCCCGUGGGAGGCCCGGCCACGGCGCGAAGCUGAUGAAGACCUUGUUUUCCGAUAGCAACUGCACGGCGUCCGCCAUUGACAAGCCCGGUAUCGUGAUCCACAGCGUCGGGUCGGACCAAGUUGCGUGCACGAGCUUCGACCUCUCCGGCGUGAACCUGGGAGUCUGGCUAUUGCUCAGCGAGUUGAGAGGGGCAACCAAGGUCCGACGGAUCGGGGUGGCUGUCGUGUGCAUCGUGUGUGCAGUCACGAUAGUGGCAAUGGUGGUGUGCUUCCUCAUGGCACGUGUGUUGUGGAAGGUCAGGGCGCGGGAGGUCGUGCUGGAGGCCGACCUACUGCAACAGAAGGAAGCGCUCCAGCAAACGGAGCGCAAGAGCAUGAACAAGAGCAAUGCCUUCGCCCGCGCUAGCCACGACAUCCGCUCCUCGCUCGCUGCUGUCGCCGGACUCAUCGAGAUCUCCCGGUCGGAGGCCCGCGGCAAGACCAACCUCAUCUAUAACCUCAACCAGAUGGAUGUCGGCACCAAUAAGCUCUUCGAUAUUCUUAACACGAUACUGGACAUGGGCAAGUUGGAGUCUGGGAAGAUACAGCUAGAAGAGGUCGAGUUCAGGAUGGCAGAUGUCCUCGAGGAAUCCAUGGACCUGGCGAACGUCGUUGGAAUGUCAAGAGGUGUCGAGGUGAUCUGGGACCCUUGCGACUUCUCCGUGCUCCGGUGCACCGCUACCGUCGGUGACUGUAAGCGUGUCAAGCAGAUCCUCGACAACCUUCUCGGCAACGCCAUCAAGUUCACGCACGAAGGCCAUGUCAUGCUCCGGGCGUGGGCCAACCGCCCCGUCAUAAGGGGCUCCAUGAUCAGCACCCCGUCGAGGUUUGCGCCCCGCCGUCGUGUCGCUAGGGUCUUCGGUCGGCUGCUUGGAAGGAGUGAGAAUUGUGCCGAACAGAAUGGCGGCUUGUCCUUGAAAAUUGAUCCCGAUUCGGUUGAGUUUUAUUUUGAGGUUGUUGACACUGGUGUGGGGAUACCCGAAGAGAGGAGGGAGUCUGUGUUUGACAACUACGUUCAAGUGAAGGAUGGGCAUGGUGGCACCGGGCUCGGACUUGGAAUUGUGCAAUCAUUUGUUCGUCUGAUGGGAGGGGAGAUAAGCAUCAAGGACAAGGAGUCAGGAGAAGCGGGAACGUGCUUUGGCUUCAACGUGUUCCUGAAGGCCAGGGAGAGUCCAGAGGGAGCCCGCCUGCUUCAAGGGCGACACUGCAUCCUCCUUGUCCACGGCGACGAGACCCGCCGGAUCCUGCACACAUGGAUGGAGAGCGUCGGGGUGAAGGUCUGGCCCAUCUCGUGCGCCGAGCUCCUCGCCCCGACCAUCGACGAGGUGUGCUCCGCCUUCAACGCCUCGCCGUCAAGGCCACCAUCGAUGUCGUCGCUGCACAGCGCAGGAUGCGAUGACUUGGAAGACACCAUACAUCGCUGCCUUGUCUCCAAGGAGAUGUCCAGCCACCUGAGGAGCAGCAGGGGCAUGGGCGGCAACCACGCCGGGCACCUCCACGCCUUCAGCUUGCUCGUAGUCGUCGACGUCUCUGCUGGGAGGCUCCACGAGGCUGCCCAGGAGGCGGCGAGCUUGGCGAGGACCAAGCUCCAGGCGCCGUGCAGGGUCGUCUGCCUGACGGACCUGAAGACCCCCUCCGAGGACCUAGGGAGGUUUAAAGAGGCGAGCUGCUGCGACCUUGAGCUGCGCAAGCCCAUCCACGGCUCCCGGCUGCACAAGCUCCUCCAGGUCAUGAGAGACCUCCAGGCAUCCCCUUUCGAUCACCUUCACCCAUAUCAGUUCGAGAUGCGGGCGGCAGAUCAAACCACUGCGUCGGCUUCCGAGAUCAUGCCCACGGUGCCCAUGGGACCAACCAAUGUUGGAGACGGCAAGCCACUGGAGGGGAUGCGCGUGCUGUUGGUGGACGACACCAUGCUUCUGCAGAAAAUCCACGGGCAGAUGUUGAACGAUCUCGGAGCAACCGUGGAGAUUGCAGGCGAUGGCUCCGUGGCUGUGGCCAUGUUCACAGAAGCUCUUCACAACGCCUUGUCGUAUGACGUGGUCCUCAUGGAUUGCCAGAUGCCGGUGAUGAAUGGCUAUGAGGUGACGAGGCGCAUCCGUGAGGAAGAAAGCCGACAAGGCGUCCGCACCCCGAUCAUUGCACUGACAGCGAAUUCCACAGAGGAAGGGCUGCGGGAGGCCAUCGAAGCUGGGAUGGAUCUUCACCUGACGAAGCCGAUACCAAAGCCGAAGAUCGCAAGGAUGGUUCUUGAGCUCUGCAAACAAGACAAGAAUUGA